Molecule: ribosomal RNA, 495 nt
Filed under: uncultured bacterium
Lineage: Bacteria
Description: partial 16S ribosomal RNA
Rfam family: Bacterial small subunit ribosomal RNA
Source: RNAcentral
GAUGAACGCUGGCGGCGUGCCUAAUACAUGCAAGUCGAGCGAACGGACGAGAAGCUUGCUUCUCUGAUGUUAGCGGCGGACGGGUGAGUAACACGUGGAUAACCUACCUAAGACUGGGAUAACUUCAGGAAACCGGAGCUAAUACCGGAUAAUAUUUUGAGCCGCAUGGUGCGAAAGUGAAAGACGGGCUUGCUGUCACUUAUAGCUCGAUCCGCGCUGCAGUAGCUAGUUGGUAAGGUAACGACUUACCAAGGCAACGAUGCAUAGCCGACCUGAGAGGGGGAUAGGCCACACUGGAACUGAGACACGGUCAAGACUCCUACGGGAGGCAGCAGUAGGGAAUCUGACGCAAUGGGCGAAAGCCUGACGGAGCAACGCCGCGUGAGUGAUGAAGGUCUUCGGAUCGUAAAACUCUGUUAUUAGGGAAGAACAGAUGUGUAAGUAACUGUGCACAUCUUGACGGUACCUAAUAAGAAAGCCACGGCUAACUACGUG